Molecule: ribosomal RNA, 484 nt
Filed under: uncultured bacterium
Lineage: Bacteria
Description: partial 16S ribosomal RNA
Rfam family: Bacterial small subunit ribosomal RNA
Source: RNAcentral
AUUGAACGCUAGCGGGAUGCUUUACACAUGCAAGUCGAACGGCAGCGCGGACUUCGGUCUGGCGGCGAGUGGCGAACGGGUGAGUAAUGUAUCGGAACGUGCCCAGUAGCGGGGGAUAACUACGCGAAAGCGUAGCUAAUACCGCAUACGCCCUACGGGGGAAAGCAGGGGAUCGUAAGACCUUGCACUAUUGGAGCGGCCGAUAUCGGAUUAGCUAGUUGGUGAGGUAACGGCUCACCAAGGCGACGAUCCGUAGCUGGUUUGAGAGGACGACCAGCCACACUGGGACUGAGACACGGCCCAGACUCCUACGGGAGGCAGCAGUGGGGAAUUUUGGACAAUGGGGGCAACCCUGAUCCAGCCAUCCCGCGUGUGCGAUGAAGGCCUUCGGGUUGUAAAGCACUUUUGGCAGGAAAGAAACGGCGCGGGCUAAUACCCCGUGGAACUGACGGUACCUGCAGAAUAAGCACCGGCUAACUACGUG